This 1854-nucleotide ribosomal RNA is filed under the name Triticum aestivum (bread wheat). RNAcentral's name for it is "partial small subunit ribosomal RNA". The record is from RNAcentral. Lineage: Eukaryota; Viridiplantae; Streptophyta; Magnoliopsida; Poales; Poaceae.
AUGGCGUCUGGUUCUGUUCCUCCUGGGAGGAGGGGGCUGGUGUCUUGCGCGCACAGCCUCAACUGCCGCGCCGACGAUGCGCCUCUGCCUCUUUACCCCGACCUCGAAAAGGCCAUCUACAAGCUCAUCGUCGACUUCUACGACCAGGCGUUCAACCGGCUGCCCUGCGACAGGAUUCCGGGCCUCCGCGACCUGCUCACCACCGCCGGCACCUGCUUCGGCCUCCUCGACCCCGUCUCCAACAUUAUCCUCAACACCCUUGCCCUCCUCCCCGAAGGCGCCGCUGCGGCAGCUUCCACCGCUCCACCCGCCACGAAGAAGUUCAAAAGACCAGCACACAACGCCUGGCAGUGGCACGACAUUGCAAACAGCCUCGCCGUCAUGCUCCUCCAACACGAUCUCUACUAUGAAGAGGUGGAGGCACUGGACCCUGAAUCCGACAGGACACAGGCUGCCCUCGAGUGGGCGGCCACCAUGGCCGGUCACCCUUCCCCCGGCGUUUUGACUAAGCUCAUGUCGUCCCGGCUCAAAGAGGACGACUUUCACUUUCUGGAGAAGCUACUCUUUUCAGCAGCAGAUGCCCCUCUCAAGGUUGAUGAUGUCGGAGCAAUCGACCGCGUACUGCGCGAGAUGAUGAGCCCGCCCUGUCUUGCCACCAUAAUCCAUACCAGAAAAGGGCCGAUUCUCCAUGUCCGUAAGAACCUCGACGCCGUGUGGUCAACCACCCCCUCCACUACAGAGGACACCUGCAGGAUCACCUCCACCGCCCUCUCCUUGGACGGAAAACCCAUCUCGUCGCUGCAAUGCGGACUGCCCGACAAGCUCCAACGUUGCCUGGGAAGAGCAGAUGGCCUGGAACAAUAUUUGAAGAAGACCCCGUGCAGCGGUCACGCCUGCGAUUACCUGCAAACCCUCAAGAUGCGCCUCCAAGGUAUGAUUCACAACUUCUGCAUCAAGGCGCUCAAGCUGCUUCCCACACCAUCCGGCUCACUCAUGCGCGGCUUCCUCAUGGCCGGCCACUGCUACGGCUCCAUGGACCCUGUCUCCAACAUCAUCGCCAACUCCAUCUGGUACAACAGCCACAGCUGCCCUCUCCCAGAGUCUGAACGCAGCAAGAUUGAGAAAUACAAUGACAUCCUGGACCCCCAUUCUCUGCUCCGCACACAGGUUCACUCCCUCAAGGGCCUAAUGGAGCUUGCCGCAUUCGCCGGCCCCCAGUUCUCAACAGAGGCUGGUGCUCUGGAGUUGCUCUGCGGUGCAAGAUGUGACAUCGUUGACAUGUUGCCAUCAUCGCCAGAGAUGCUUGAAAAGAAGAACCCCUUCCAUGAAGCUGCCAAGGCCGCUGGACACCCUCUACCGCUUCAGCUGGGUGAACUGCACCGGCUGCUGCUACUGAUGCCUGAUGAGCGAAGCGCGCUGCUCUCCUUGAUGACUGAGGCUCGAACUGGCCGUACUAUGUUGCGCCUCGAUGACAUGACACUUCAUAUGAGGCGCAUGUGGCUCAAAUGCUCGGCUACCAAAACUGGUGGCAUUGUGCGAGCUCCUAAACUUUUUCCAGAGUCUCGGAAGUUGGUGUCAAGCAUGAGAUCAAAGUAUGAGGAGCGGAGGAAUUGGUUCCGUUCAAAGAUUGAACAGGUGCUGAAGGAUUACACGACCCAACAUUUUUGGCUUGAGAGGACGCUAUUCUUCGCCGAGUUUUUGUUCUCGGGUGGGCCAAGGCCAGAGACCUGCUGCCCUCUACCCUAUGAGUAUGCGGGCCGUUGCUACUAUGGCGAGCAAACCGCAAGGAAAAUUGUGUAUCCUGAUGACGCCAAAUACAUUCCGCACGAUAUCGCCGCGUGGAUGACAUGCUAG